GAUGAAAGAACGCAGCGAAAUGCGAUAAGUAAUGUGAAUUGCAGAAUUCAGUGAAUCAUCGAAUCUUUGAACGCACAUUGCGCCCCCCAGUAUUCUGGCGGGCAUGCCUGUUCGAGCGUCAUUUCAACCAUCAAGCCCUGCUUGUGUUGGGGUCCUGCGGCUGCCCGCAGGCCCUGAAAACCAGUGGCGGGCUCGCUAGUCACACCGAGCGCAGUAGCACAUCUCGCUCAGGGCGUGCGGCGGGCUCCAGCCGUUAAAGCACCCACCUUUCGCAAGGUUGACCUCGGAUCAGGUAGGAAUACCCGCUGAACUUAAGCAUAUCAAUAAGCGGAGGA
Molecule: unclassified non-coding RNA, 335 nt
Filed under: soil metagenome
Description: partial contains 5.8S ribosomal RNA, internal transcribed spacer 2, and large subunit ribosomal RNA
Rfam family: 5.8S ribosomal RNA (bases 6-121)
Source: RNAcentral